GACGAACGCUGGCGGCGUGCUUAACACAUGCAAGUCGAACGGAAAGGCCCUGCUUUUGUGGGGUGCUUGAGUGGCGAACGGGUGAGUAACACGUGAGUAACCUGCCCUUGACUUUGGGAUAACUUCAGGAAACUGGGGCUAAUACCGGAUAGGAGCUCCUGCUGCAUGGUGGGGGUUGGAAAGUUUCGGCGGUUGGGGAUAGACUCGCGGCUUAUCAGCUUGUUGGUGGGGUAGUGGCUUACCAAGGCUUUGACGGGUAGCCGGCCUGAGAGGGUGACCGGCCACAUUGGGACUGAGAUACGGCCCAGACUCCUACGGGAGGCAGCAGUGGGGAAUAUUGCACAAUGGGCGGAAGCCUGAUGCAGCAACGCCGCGUGCGGGAUGACGGCCUUCGGGUUGUAAACCGCUUUCGCCUGUGACGAAGCGUGAGUGACGGUAAUGGGUAAAGAAGCACCGGCUAACUACGUG
RNAcentral lists this ribosomal RNA (468 nucleotides) under uncultured bacterium. RNAcentral describes it as "partial 16S ribosomal RNA". It matches the Rfam family "Bacterial small subunit ribosomal RNA", at positions 28 to 507 of the family's 1533-position model. The record is from RNAcentral.